AUGAACGCUAGCGAUAGGCUUCACACAUGCAAGUCGAGGGGCAGCAUGGUCUUAGCUUGCUAAGGCUGAUGGCGACCGGCGCACGGGUGCGUAACGCGUAUGCAACUUGCCUCACAGAGGGGGAUAACCCGUCGAAAGACGGACUAAUACCGCGUACACUCUAUGUUGGGCAUCCAAUGUAGAGGAAAUGAAAUUCGCUGUGAGAUAGGCAUGCGUCCCAUUAGCUAGUUGGUGAGGUAACGGCUCACCAAGGCGACGAUGGGUAGGGGAACUGAGAGGUUGAACCCCCACACUGGUACUGAGACACGGACCAGACUCCUACGGGAGGCAGCAGUGAGGAAUAUUGGUCAAUGGGCGAGAGCCUGAACCAGCCAAGUCGCGUGAAGGAUGACUGUCUUAUGGAUUGUAAACUUCUUUUAUACGGGAAUAACAAGAGUCACGUGUGGCUCCCUGCAUGUACCGUAUGAAUAAGCAUCGGCUAACUCCGUG
This 489-nucleotide ribosomal RNA is filed under the name uncultured bacterium. RNAcentral's name for it is "partial 16S ribosomal RNA". It matches the Rfam family "Bacterial small subunit ribosomal RNA", at positions 29 to 507 of the family's 1533-position model. The record is from RNAcentral.